GGUGAACGCUGGCGGCGUGCCUAAUACAUGCAAGUCGAGCGAACAGACGAGGAGCUUGCUCCUCUGACGUUAGCGGCGGACGGGUGAGUAACACGUGGAUAACCUACCUAUAAGACUGGGAUAACUUCGGGAAACCGGAGCUAAUACCGGAUAAUAUAUUGAACCGCAUGGUUCAAUAGUGAAAGACGGUUUUGCUGUCACUUAUAGAUGGAUCCGCGCCGCAUUAGCUAGUUGGUAAGGUAACGGCUUACCAAGGCAACGAUGCGUAGCCGACCUGAGAGGGUGAUCGGCCACACUGGAACUGAGACACGGUCCAGACUCCUACGGGAGGCAGCAGUAGGGAAUCUUCCGCAAUGGGCGAAAGCCUGACGGAGCAACGCCGCGUUAGUGAUGAAGGUCUUCGGAUCGUAAAACUCUGUUAUUAGGGAAGAACAAAUGUGUAAGUAACUAUGCACGUCUUGACGGUACCUAAUCAGAAAGCCACGGCUAACUACGUG
This 497-nucleotide ribosomal RNA is filed under the name uncultured bacterium. RNAcentral describes it as "partial 16S ribosomal RNA". It matches the Rfam family "Bacterial small subunit ribosomal RNA", at positions 28 to 507 of the family's 1533-position model. The record is from RNAcentral.